GUAGUCCACGCUGUAAACGAUGAAUACUAGAUGUUGGCCGUUAAAGGUCAGUGUCGCAGCUAACGCAUUAAGUAUUCCGCCUGGGGAGUACGGUCGCAAGAUUAAAACUCAAAGGAAUUGACGGGGACCCGCACAAGCGGUGGAGUAUGUGGUUUAAUUCGAAGCAACGCGCAGAACCUUACCAGCUCUUGACAUGGGACGUAUAGGGAUCAGAGAUGAUUUCUUUCACUUCGGGUGGCGUCCGCACAGGUGCUGCAUGGCUGUCGUCAGCUCGUGUCGUGAGAUGUUGGGUUAAGUCCCGCAACGAGCGCAACCCUCAUCGUUAAUUGCCAUCAGGUAGGGCUGGGCACUUUAGCGAAACUGCCGGUGAUAAGCCGGA
This 379-nucleotide ribosomal RNA is filed under the name uncultured bacterium. Its description in RNAcentral is "bacterial SSU rRNA". It matches the Rfam family "Bacterial small subunit ribosomal RNA", at positions 790 to 1167 of the family's 1533-position model. The record is from RNAcentral.